GGGGGACAACCGGGGGAACUGAAACAUCUAAGUACCCCGAGGAAGAGAAAUCAACCGAGAUUGCGCGAGUAGCGGCGAGCGAAAGCGCAAGAGCCCAAACCCGGGCGAGUGUAAGCGGCAGGCGUUGCCGCCCGGGGGUUGCGGGACACUCGUCGCGGAGCUGCCCUCCGCGGAGUGGUUACAAAUCCGAUCGGUAGCGGAACGGCAUGGAAGGGCCGGCCGCAGAGGGUGAGAGCCCCGUACGCGAAACCGAUCGGACCACUGCAGUGUAUCCCGAGUAGGGCCGGACACGUGAAACCCGGUCCGAAGCCGGGGGGACCACCCUCCAAGGCUAAACACUCUCCUGUGACCGAUAGCGAACCAGUACCGUGAGGGAAAGGUGAAAAGCACCCCGAGAGGGGAGUGAAACAGUACCUGAAACCGUGCGCCCGCAAGCAGUCGGAGCAGCCUUUGCGCUGUGACGGCGUGCCUUUUGUAGAAUGAGCCAGCGAGUUGCGGUGUGCGGCGAGGUUAAGUUUUUAAACGAGCCGCAGCGAAAGCGAGCCUUUAAGAUGGCGUUACAGUCGCGCGCUGCAGACGCGAAGCCGGGUGAGCUAUCCUGGGGCAGGCUGAAGCGGGGGUAAGACCCCGUGGAGGGCCGAACCCACUUCGGUUGAAAACGGAGGGGAUGACCUCAGGAUAGGGGUGAAAGGCCAAUCAAACCCGGAGAUAUCUCGUUCUCCCCGAAAUAGCUUUAGGGCUAGCCUCGGCCGUUCACCCGCGGUGGUAGAGCCACCGGAUCCCCGAGGGGGCUUCACCGCCUACCGACGGGAACCGAACUCCGAAUGCCGCGGGUUCAGAGGCCGGGAGUCAGAGCAUGUGGGCUAAGCUGUGUGCUCGAGAGGGAAACAGCCCAGACCGCCCGCUAAGGUCCCCAAGUCGAUGCUGAGUGGCAAAGGAUGUGCGUCUGCCCAGACAACCAGGAUGUUGGCUUAGAAGCAGCCAUGCAUUUAAAGAGUGCGUAACAGCUCACUGGUCGAGUGGACAUGCGCCGACAAUACACGGGGCUAAGCAUCGCACCGAAGCGGCGGGCUGAUUUUUUCAGCGGUAGGGGAGCGUUCCGCGCUGCGGAGAAGC
Molecule: ribosomal RNA, 1116 nt
Filed under: Parvibacter caecicola
Lineage: Bacteria; Bacillati; Actinomycetota; Coriobacteriia; Coriobacteriales; Coriobacteriaceae
Description: bacterial LSU rRNA
Rfam family: Bacterial large subunit ribosomal RNA
Source: RNAcentral